Non-coding RNA from Myodes glareolus (Bank vole), 426 nucleotides. The record is from RefSeq and is a predicted model, not a curated record. Lineage: Eukaryota; Metazoa; Chordata; Mammalia; Rodentia; Cricetidae.
AAGAAAUGUCCUCAAAGAAAGAGAGCACAAAGGGUCUGUAAUUGGCAGGUCCAGACUGAAGGGGGUGGUAUUUGAAGACUCUUCUCAAGACCUGGAGCUCCAAGUGUGUUCAGUUCUAGACCUUAAAGAUGCUUUCUUCAGCCUAACUAACCUUGGAAGCCAAGAGCCAACCACUCUUUGCCUUCGAAUGCCAUGGCCUAAACGGGCUUCAUUGGACAACUCACCUGGACCUGACUGCCACAAGGGUUCAAAAAUUACCUAACUAUCUUUAAUGAACGUUGAGACUUGAGGAUUCUUGGAACUCACACCCUGAGACUCUGAUGUCAUCCGUGGCUGCACAGAGAUACUUCAGCAAGCACAUGGAAGCCGAUUGUGUGCUCAAAUCCAGAUCUCAUGCAUUUCACAUGUGGCGGCAGCAGUUUUAUU